UUUGACGGGAAAACCAAAAGAUAUGUUGACUUCCCUCUUACAGAGAUCUUGCAAAUGAUGGGACGUGCAGGGCGUCCGCAAUUUGACCAACAUGGGAAAGCGGUCAUUCUUGUACAUGAACCUAAAAAAAGCUUUUACAAAAAGUUCUUGUACGAACCAUUCCCCGUAGAAAGUAGCUUGAAAGAGAAGCUGCACGAUCACUUCAAUGCAGAAAUAGUAUCUGGAA
Non-coding RNA from Camelina sativa (false flax), 226 nucleotides. NCBI's taxonomy places the organism in Eukaryota, Viridiplantae, Streptophyta, Magnoliopsida, Brassicales, Brassicaceae. The record is from RefSeq and is a predicted model, not a curated record.